Molecule: ribosomal RNA, 381 nt
Filed under: uncultured Neisseria sp.
Lineage: Bacteria; Pseudomonadati; Pseudomonadota; Betaproteobacteria; Neisseriales; Neisseriaceae
Description: bacterial SSU rRNA
Rfam family: Bacterial small subunit ribosomal RNA
Source: RNAcentral
UACGUAGGGUGCGAGCGUUAAUCGGAAUUACUGGGCGUAAAGCGGGCGCAGACGGUUACUUAAGCAGGAUGUGAAAUCCCCGGGCUCAACCUGGGAACUGCGUUCUGAACUGGGUGACUAGAGUGUGUCAGAGGGAGGUAGAAUUCCACGUGUAGCAGUGAAAUGCGUAGAGAUGUGGAGGAACACCGAUGGCGGAGGCGGCCCUCCUGGGAUGACACUGACGUUCAUGCCCGAAAGCGUGGGUAGCAAACAGGAUUAGAUACCCUGGUAGUCCACGCCCUAAACGAUGUCGAUUAGCUGUUCGGGCAGCUUGAUUGUUUAGUAGCGAAGCUAACGCGUGAAAUCGUCCGCCUGGGGAGUACGGUCGCAAGAUUAAAACUC